RNAcentral lists this ribosomal RNA (429 nucleotides) under Bacteroidota bacterium. RNAcentral's name for it is "Bacteroidetes bacterium partial 16S ribosomal RNA". It matches the Rfam family "Bacterial small subunit ribosomal RNA", at positions 355 to 776 of the family's 1533-position model. Lineage: Bacteria; Pseudomonadati; Bacteroidota. The record is from RNAcentral.
UAGGGAAUCUUCCGCAAUGGACGCAAGUCUGACGGAGCAACGCCGCGUGAGUGAAGAAGGAUUUCGGUUCGUAAAACUCUGUUGUUAGAGAAGAACAGCGCAUAGAGUAACUGUUAUGCGUGUGACGGUAUCUAACCAGAAAGCCACGGCUAACUACGUGCCAGCAGCCGCGGUAAUACGUAGGUGGCAAGCGUUGUCCGGAUUUAUUGGGCGUAAAGCGAGCGCAGGCGGUCAAUUAAGUCUGAUGUGAAAGCCCCCGGCUCAACCGGGGAGGGUCAUUGGAAACUGGUUGACUUGAGUGCAGAAGAGGAGAGUGGAAUUCCAUGUGUAGCGGUGAAAUGCGUAGAUAUAUGGAGGAACACCAGUGGCGAAGGAGACUCUCUGGUCUGUAACUAACGCUGAGGCUCGAAAGCGUGGGUAGCAAACAGG